UACAGAGGGUGCAAGCGUUGUUCGGAAUUAUUGGGCGUAAAGCGCGUGUAGGCGGCUUUGCAAGUCGGGUGUGAAAGCCCUCAGCUCAACUGAGGAAGUGCGCCCGAAACUGCAGAGCUUGAGUACCGGAGAGGAUGGCGGAAUUCCCCAAGUAGAGGUGAAAUUCGUAGAUAUGGGGAGGAACACCGGUGGCGAAGGCGGCCAUCUGGACGGUCACUGACGCUGAGGAGCGAAAGCGUGGGGAGCGAUCCGG
This 253-nucleotide ribosomal RNA is filed under the name uncultured bacterium. RNAcentral's name for it is "partial 16S ribosomal RNA". It matches the Rfam family "Bacterial small subunit ribosomal RNA", at positions 524 to 776 of the family's 1533-position model. The record is from RNAcentral.